This 230-nucleotide long non-coding RNA is filed under the name Gossypium raimondii (Peruvian cotton). Its description in RNAcentral is "long non-coding RNA (GRAI_LNC005632)". The record is from RNAcentral. Lineage: Eukaryota; Viridiplantae; Streptophyta; Magnoliopsida; Malvales; Malvaceae.
GGGUUGGAGAGGAAAAAAAUGGGGGUUGUGCAGUUUUUUUUUUUAAAUAUUGUGAAAUGAAUUUUUUUUUUUAGAUUUGUCUAGGGGUGUGCAAAAUUCAGGUAAAACCGAAAAAAUUUGGUUAACCGACCGAAUUCGGUUAAUCCUUCGGUUAACGGAAUUUUUUCGGUAUAGGGUCAAUCAAUUAUUUUUUAAUUUUUCGGUUAACGGUUAAUUCGGUUCGAAACCGG